GUGGGGAAUAUUGCACAAUGGGGGAAACCCUGAUGCAGCAACGCCGCGUGAGUGAUGAAGGCCUUCGGGUUGUAAAGCUCUGUCUUCAGGGACGAUAAUGACGGUACCUGAGGAGGAAGCCACGGCUAACUACGUGCCAGCAGCCGCGGUAAUACGUAGGUGGCAAGCGUUGUCCGGAUUUACUGGGCGUAAAGGGAGCGUAGGCGGAUACUUAAGUGGGAUGUGAAAUACCCGGGCUCAACUUGGGUGCUGCAUUCCAAACUGGAUAUCUAGAGUGCAGGAGAGGUAAGUGGAAUUCCUAGUGUAGCGGUGAAAUGCGUAGAGAUUAGGAAGAACACCAGUGGCGAAGGCGACUUACUGGACUGUAACUGACACUGAGGCAUGAAAGCGUGGGGAGCAAACAGGAUUAGAUACCCGUGUAGUCC
Molecule: ribosomal RNA, 425 nt
Filed under: uncultured bacterium
Lineage: Bacteria
Description: partial 16S ribosomal RNA
Rfam family: Bacterial small subunit ribosomal RNA
Source: RNAcentral